UUGCAAUGAUGAAAAUCUUAGGACACCUUAAGAUAAAUAAUGAUACAAACUAAGCGUUACCAUGACUGAGCAGC
Molecule: small nucleolar RNA, 74 nt
Filed under: Pomacea canaliculata
Lineage: Eukaryota; Metazoa; Mollusca; Gastropoda; Architaenioglossa; Ampullariidae
Description: small nucleolar RNA SNORD58
Rfam family: Small nucleolar RNA SNORD58
About the family: snoRNA U58 is found in introns 1, 3 and 6 of the ribosomal protein RPL17 gene in humans. U58 is a member of the C/D class of snoRNA which contain C (UGAUGA) and D (CUGA) box motifs.
Source: Rfam by way of RNAcentral